CUUGGCUAUUAUUGUGCCCCUUCAGAGAUCCACCUUGAUUCGUGAAUCUCAGCCAAGGGAUUCACUAUGAACCCACCACCACCCUGAAGCUGUAAUCUGUGACUCUCUCCAAGUUUGGCGUUCCCGUAUUGCCAUUUUUAACAGCUCUAUGGCGAAUGGCAGCCAAUGAUGGAGUGCCAGUAGAAGAGAACCUUGAGGUUGAAUAGCAGCUUUCUGUUUUCCUCCAGAACUUGGAGCUCAAAAAAUCAGCACCAGGCAGCAUGCAACAUGUGGUUCUGUGGGAGUUGGUCAUCCUUCCACUUGAUACAGCCAAGUCAUAUGAGAUCUCGUCCAGUGCCAAUUCUAAGCCAUGAACACGUGUCUCAAGAGAACGCAUCCCACUUUGUGAAGUCCCAAUGAAUUUCUGUAGGAGAUCUUGUAGGUUAGAUUGCUGCCUUUCAAUCUGAACAAG
Molecule: unclassified non-coding RNA, 451 nt
Filed under: Hevea brasiliensis (rubber tree)
Lineage: Eukaryota; Viridiplantae; Streptophyta; Magnoliopsida; Malpighiales; Euphorbiaceae
Source: RNAcentral